RNAcentral lists this ribosomal RNA (241 nucleotides) under uncultured Staphylococcus sp. RNAcentral's name for it is "partial 16S ribosomal RNA". It matches the Rfam family "Bacterial small subunit ribosomal RNA", at positions 99 to 334 of the family's 1533-position model. The record is from RNAcentral. Lineage: Bacteria; Bacillati; Bacillota; Bacilli; Caryophanales; Staphylococcaceae.
CGGACGGGUGAGUAACACGUGGAUAACCUACCUAUAAGACUGGGAUAACUUCGGGAAACCGGAGCUAAUACCGGAUAAUAUAUUGAACCGCAUGGUUCAAUAGUGAAAGACGGUUUUGCUGUCACUUAUAGAUGGAUCCGCGCCGCAUUAGCUAGUUGGUAAGGUAACGGCUUACCAAGGCAACGAUGCGUAGCCGACCUGAGAAGGUGAUCGGCCACACUGGAACUGAGACACGGUCCAG